This is a non-coding RNA of Chelonoidis abingdonii (Abingdon island giant tortoise), 110 nucleotides long. The record is from RefSeq and is a predicted model, not a curated record. Lineage: Eukaryota; Metazoa; Chordata; Testudines; Testudinidae.
AGAGGCGGUCAAAAGCAAACGGAUUUAGGAAUCAUUAAAAGAGGGAUAGAGGAUAAAAGCGGAGACUAUCUUAUUGCCCUUAAGAAAUCCAUGGUAUGCCCACCUCUUGC